This 253-nucleotide ribosomal RNA is filed under the name Fusicatenibacter saccharivorans. Its description in RNAcentral is "partial 16S ribosomal RNA". It matches the Rfam family "Bacterial small subunit ribosomal RNA", at positions 524 to 776 of the family's 1533-position model. The record is from RNAcentral. Lineage: Bacteria; Bacillati; Bacillota; Clostridia; Lachnospirales; Lachnospiraceae.
UACGUAGGGGGCAAGCGUUAUCCGGAUUUACUGGGUGUAAAGGGAGCGUAGACGGCAAGGCAAGUCUGAUGUGAAAACCCAGGGCUCAACCCUGGGACUGCAUUGGAAACUGUCUGGCUCGAGUGCCGGAGAGGUAAGCGGAAUUCCUAGUGUAGCGGUGAAAUGCGUAGAUAUUAGGAAGAACACCAGUGGCGAAGGCGGCUUACUGGACGGUAACUGACGUUGAGGCUCGAAAGCGUGGGGAGCAAACAGG